This 491-nucleotide ribosomal RNA is filed under the name uncultured Gammaproteobacteria bacterium. RNAcentral's name for it is "bacterial SSU rRNA". It matches the Rfam family "Bacterial small subunit ribosomal RNA", at positions 46 to 526 of the family's 1533-position model. The record is from RNAcentral. Lineage: Bacteria; Pseudomonadati; Pseudomonadota; Gammaproteobacteria.
GCUUAACACAUGCAAGUCGAACGGCAGCACAGGGGAGCUUGCUCCCUGGGUGGCGAGUGGCGGACGGGUGAGGAAUACAUGGGAAUCUGCCCAAUCGUGGGGGAUAACGUAGGGAAACUUACGCUAAUACCGCAUACGACCUCCGGGUGAAAGCGGCGGACCGCAAGGCGUCGCGCGAUUGGAUGAGCCCAUGUCGGAUUAGCUAGUUGGCGGGGUAAAGGCCCACCAAGGCGACGAUCCGUAGCUGGUCUGAGAGGAUGAUCAGCCACACUGGAACUGAGACACGGUCCAGACUCCUACGGGAGGCAGCAGUGGGGAAUAUUGGACAAUGGGCGCAAGCCUGAUCCAGCCAUGCCGCGUGGGUGAAGAAGGCCUUCGGGUUGUAAAGCCCUUUAGGUGGGGAGGAAGGCGUUCAUGCUAAUACCAUGGAUGAUUGACGUUACCCACAGAAUAAGCACCGGCUAACUCCGUGCCAGCAGCCGCGGUAAUAC